RNAcentral lists this ribosomal RNA (246 nucleotides) under uncultured bacterium. Its description in RNAcentral is "partial 16S ribosomal RNA". It matches the Rfam family "Bacterial small subunit ribosomal RNA", at positions 88 to 334 of the family's 1533-position model. The record is from RNAcentral.
UUUACUAGUGGCGGACGGGUGAGUAACGCGUGGGUAACCUGCCUUAUACAGGGGGAUAACAGUCAGAAAUGGCUGCUAAUACCGCAUAAGACCACGGUACCGCAUGGUACAGUGGUAAAAACUCCGGUGGUAUGAGAUGGACCCGCGUCUGAUUAGGUAGUUGGUGGGGUAACGGCCUACCAAGCCGACGAUCAGUAGCCGACCUGAGAGGGUGACCGGCCACAUUGGGACUGAGACACGGCCCAG